RNAcentral lists this ribosomal RNA (381 nucleotides) under uncultured microorganism. RNAcentral's name for it is "bacterial SSU rRNA". It matches the Rfam family "Archaeal small subunit ribosomal RNA", at positions 330 to 712 of the family's 1478-position model. The record is from RNAcentral.
GUGCACCAGUCGCGAAACCUCCGCAAUACACGAAAGUGUGACGGGGCCAUCCCGAGUGCCGUCCGCUGAGGACGGCUUUUCCCCAGUGUACACAGCUGGGGGAAUAAGGAGAGGGCAAGCCUGGUGUCAGCCGCCGCGGUAAUACCAGCUCUCCGAGUGGUGGGGACGCUUAUUGGGCCUAAAGCAUCCGUAGCCGGCUGGGCAAGUCCUCCGUUAAAUCCAACGAUUCAAUCGUUGGGCUGCGGGGGAUACUGUCCAGCUUGGGGGCGGGGAGAGGCCGACGGUAUUCCCGGGGUAGGGGUGAAAUCCUAUAAUCCCGGGAGGACCACCAGUGGCGAAGGCUGUCGGCUAGAACGCGCCCGACGGUGAGGGAUGAAAGCU